CACUAGCUCAUUUCAAACCAGAAUUUCUAAGAGAACGCACGUCGCGUUUGUAUUCAUUUUAUCAUAGAAUUUUAGUAAACAAUACACAAUGGUGUCACUAAGCGAUCCCGCUGUGCAAUCGUACAUCCUGUACUCCGCUAUUCUGGCGCUGAAAGUGUUAGUGAUGGCUUUCUUGACUGCAAGACAACGUUACGCCAAGAAUGUGUUCGCUAACGAAGAGGACGCUAAAUCAUCAAAGGGUAAAGUAAAACUGGACGAUCCGGACGUUGAAAGAGUGAGACGGGCACAUCUGAAUGACCUUGAAAACAUACCGGCGUUCUGGAUAUUGGGGGCAUUGUACUUGACUACGUCACCGGAGGCCGCCUGGGCUGCGCUUCUCUUCAGGACGUACACUGUCUCUAGAAUCAUCCAUACUAUCGUGUACGCUGUGAAACCAUUGCCGCAACCGGCGCGCGCCAUUGCCUUCAUGAUCCCCGUCGUUGUCAAAUGGUACAUGGGUAUUGCAAUUGUAUCUAACUAUAUUAGUGCUCUGUAAUUUCAUAAGGCGUUUGCGUCAUUAUUGUAAAUGUAUAAUUUUUAACAAUUGUGCCGUUUUUUAAUAAAGUGUCUCUUUGUAAUUAAAA
RNA transcript from Papilio polytes (common Mormon), 623 nucleotides. It is a transcript of the gene named microsomal glutathione S-transferase 1 pseudogene, with no coding region annotated. NCBI's taxonomy places the organism in Eukaryota, Metazoa, Arthropoda, Insecta, Lepidoptera, Papilionidae. The transcript has a single exon. The record is from RefSeq and is a predicted model, not a curated record.